GGUUCCUCUUUAACUGACAAAUUACCUACACACUAGUCCAUGAAAGUGAGCGGAGGAGGGGGUGUAAACAAAACAACAUUAUUGACGUUUAUACCACGAUUGGUUCCUCUUUAACUGACAAAUUACCUACACACUAGUCCAUGAAAGUGAGCGGAGGAGGGGGGUGUAAACAAAACAACAUUAUUGACGUUAUACCACGAUUAGUUCCUCAUUAACUGACAAAUUACCUACACACUAGUCCAUGAAAGUGAACGGAGGAGGGACAAACGAAUCAACAUGCAACCAUUCAAAUUGAUGUGCAAAUGUAAUUACAUCUUCAUACCAAAUAUAAUUACCAUACCAUAAGUGGUUUAUUUUAAACUGAUGAAAAUGAGACCUGCCAAUAUUUAUACAGCUGCAUAACAAAUGCAUCAAUUUACCAAAAGCGAUUCCAUUUAAAAUGACUUACCAAAAGCGAAUCCUCUAAACUUGACAAACAUUUUAAUCUGUCAUAGACGCGAUAACAAUAUAUUAUUGUAAGUAUAUUUGAAGAAAACUUGCAAGAACAAUUCAAAUU
Molecule: long non-coding RNA, 556 nt
Filed under: Mytilus galloprovincialis (Mediterranean mussel)
Lineage: Eukaryota; Metazoa; Mollusca; Bivalvia; Mytilida; Mytilidae
Source: RNAcentral